Molecule: long non-coding RNA, 801 nt
Filed under: Rhinopithecus roxellana (golden snub-nosed monkey)
Lineage: Eukaryota; Metazoa; Chordata; Mammalia; Primates; Cercopithecidae
Description: lncRNA (ENSRROG00000045941.1)
Source: RNAcentral
GGGCAGUAGGAAACUUUCUGAGACACACCUUUAAAAUUAGUUAUAAUGUGUGCUAUGUUUACAGAUCUUAGUUUUGAAGACCAACAACACAACAAUACUUCCAGAUCUCCAUCUAACCUCUGCUUAUUUGAGAGGGGCUUUGUAUUUUCAACAGGAGAGUUCAAAGUUCAUUUUUUUUCCAGCAACUAUAGUUCUAAGUGAAAUAAUCUAUUGUUAUUGAGACGUGAUAUUUUACAUAUUUAUGGGAUACCCAUGAGUCAUGAUCUAUUUUAAGUAAUACCUUAGUGUUGUAAAAUCAGCAGUACUUUUAAAAAUAAAUGUACGUUGUUAAUUAUCCCACUUGUGUCAUCAGAACUACAGCUUGAACAAGUCCACCUUCCAUGGACCAAGCACCACCCUGCACAUUUCUAGCAUGAGCAAAAUCCAAGGUCCUGGCUGGACUCCAGAGAUGCUGUUUACCUCAGAAGUAUGACAAUAGGAGGCAGAAGAAGCAGGCAAAUCCAACUUCUUUCUUGCAGUUUUCUUGGUUGGGGAGGAAAAGUUGAAUUUUACUAUUAUGGAGAAGAAACAGGAAAUAGAGACAGGCCAAGCACAUCUGCAAAAAAGAUAUUGCUGGAGGAGGUGCAAGAGCUGGAAACCAAGUUUCCUGUCCUGGGAAAAGCAGUGGUGUGGAAGAGCAGUGGAAAGAGACUUUAUACAGAAACUAAGAUUUUUUUGGAAAAUCACUUUCGGCAUUUGCACAAGGUAAGCAAUGAUACAUACAUGAUAUAAAUAUGUUGAUAGUUGUGUGCCUUACUAGUG